Molecule: long non-coding RNA, 1556 nt
Organism: Corvus hawaiiensis (hawaiian crow)
Lineage: Eukaryota; Metazoa; Chordata; Aves; Passeriformes; Corvidae
Exons: 2
Source: RefSeq, a predicted model, not a curated record
UCGCUGCCACGGACAAACCCUCUGUGCACCACACUGCACUGGGGCACUGGGAUCUGGGGGGGGGAGGAUUUUCAAUUAAAAAUUUCUUUUUUCCAUUUUUCUUUUCCCCCCAAUUUCACUUGGAGCCCAGGAUGUGCUGCCCCUGAAUGCCAGGACUCGGCAAGCUUCUCUUCCUUUCUCCAUCUGAAUCUACGAGCAGCAAGAAACCCAAGUGCCUGGGAAGGUGAUGGGACCGUGGAGUCUCCUGGAUUUGUUCUCAGUGUGGAUUUCAAUGUGUGGAACCCCCGAGGAGUGUGAGACUCCGGGAGCUCAGACCCCUCCUGGCAGAGUCACCCCAUGGUCAGGCUGAUGUGAAGAGGACAAGGCACACCUCACAGCCAUGGGCAGGAGAUGAGUGACUGGGAUGAGCUCUCAGAGGGGGUUUAGACCCCUGGCUCGGAGUUUUGGGGAUGGCAGGGGAUGUGCAAGGCCUGUGGUGCAGCACUAAGUGGUGAGAGGGUUCAGAGGGCUUCACCUGCAGGUCCACCCCAGGUCACAGGUGAAGGGUGCUAAAGUGGGUGCUAAAAGUGGAAUUUCACUUCUGGGCAUGGGCAGGAGCAGGAACUGGAGGUGGAUCUCUUGGACAAUGGCCUUUAAAGGGGUUUCAAGUCCUAAAACAAGCUGGGUUUGUUGGUUUGAAGACCUAAAUUUUGGUCUUAAAGUCUAAAGUGGAGGUAAAAUAGGACAUUAGUACUCUGAUGGCUCUAGUCAUCAGUCCUAAAGUAAAUAAUUACAGAAAAUCUGUAAAGAGCUGAGGAAAUCUUUCCUCGAAGCUGAUGAACUGUCUGACUCCUUCCACCUUAAACUACUGAAAUCCUGAGUGUUUCUGGGGGCUCUGUUUGCUGCUAACCUGUGACAGGUAACAUUAACAUUCCCUCUGAACUUCCCUAUUCCUCAUUUUUCUUGGCCAGACCUCUCUCCUGGAUCCUUGUGUUCCCUCUGGCUCUUGCAGGCUUUGCUCCUCUGCUGUUCCUGGCUCUUCACCUCUGGUGGGGAUGCUGUGAGUUGGUGCCUCCUGGGCUCACCCAGGUCUUACCUGGACAGAGCCAUCCUGUGAUAACACCAGAGCAGGGCGGCCUCAGGAGGGUUCUUGGGGGGUGUUCCUCCCUUUGGACAGGGACACUGUUGUGUGUUCCCAUGGAUCUUCUCCCUGUUCUCCACACCAGUGGCCAUCCCACACCCCACAUUCCUCACCCCCCAGUUUGCCCCAGCACAGCUUCAGUGCCACGUCCCAGUGAGCCCAGAGCAGGGUGGGGCCAAGGCUGCCUUUCACCUGUGCCUGCCUGCGGAUGAUGUGUGGAGUUCUCAGUGCCCACAGGGAAAAGCACCCACAGCUGUAGGAAAAGGGACCUUCCCCUGCUCAGCUGAGCACCAGGAUGCAGCUUCUACUUUAUGGUUUCUUCCUGAAGUUUCCCUUUGCCAAAGAUGUGGCUGGAAAGCAGAGGGAAGUCAGGCUUUAAAGGAAGGUCUGGUGGCUGUUGAGGUGAUGGCAAUAAAAACCUCUGAGUUUAGCAAAA